This is a non-coding RNA of Rattus norvegicus (Norway rat), 905 nucleotides long. NCBI's taxonomy places the organism in Eukaryota, Metazoa, Chordata, Mammalia, Rodentia, Muridae. The record is from RefSeq and is a predicted model, not a curated record.
AGAAGAGGGUAUUGGAUCUCAUUACAGAUGGCUGUGAGCUACCAUGUGCUUGCUGGGAAAUGAACUCAGGAGCUCUGGAAGAACCUCUGGUUCUUAACCACUGAGGCAUCUCUCCAGCCCGCUAUGUGACUUAUUUAAAGUGACUUAGUAUGAGAAGAGCUACAGGGCAAAAACCAGGCAAAGAGAUACCAUCAGUGUCCAUUGAAGAUAUACCCAAGAUAGGGUGGAGGCAUUCGAUGGGGGCACUGAGACGAGAGAUGUCUAAACAUGUUGCCUUGGAUGAGCUGCAUGCAGCCAUAGAGUAUGAGGCUGGAUGGACGUCCCGAAGACAAGCAUACACUCCAGCAGCAGGAAAGAUGAGCUGAAGUUCAGAAGACACGCGUGUCUCACUCAGUCGCUUGGAGGAAGCCUGGGAACCGAACCUGAUCUGUCUGUUAUGAGCUGUAGCCCUGAAGAAGACAAGAAGAGAUGACUGAGCAAGAAAGUCACAGCAGCUUGCGUUGGAAACACCAGCUUCAGCAAUGCUGUGGAAGACAGGCCUGAGGUCUCGCCAUCUCCUCGGUGGGCUGGGGCUUUAAGAAGAGCUGACCUGAUGGCGCCCAAGGGCUGUGAGGAGUGGGAAUAAGGCAGAGAGCGAAAACAAAUGGGUUCAGAAGGCCAAGCCAGUGGGACCUGAAGCUAAACAAAUGAGCCUGCAAAGGAACCUCCAUGGCAGAGUGAAAAUUACAGCAGUGGUGUCAGCUGUGGCUUGAAAAGCUGCCUAAAGAAUCAGGUAUCCUUGUCACCACCACCUCCCCCCAAAAGGAAAAGAAAAAGGAAAAAAGAAAGUCACACCCAGAAAGCAGAAAUAAAUGGGUUAGCCAUAAAGACCAGAGUCUUUGGUGAGGCCCAGCUGACUCGUGAAA